This 389-nucleotide unclassified non-coding RNA is filed under the name Hevea brasiliensis (rubber tree). The record is from RNAcentral. Lineage: Eukaryota; Viridiplantae; Streptophyta; Magnoliopsida; Malpighiales; Euphorbiaceae.
GUUGUCAAAAGCCAAAGGAGGAGCGGUAAUGGAAGAAGAAGAAGAAAGGGAAGCUGAGAAAGAAAGUAAAGUGGUUCACAGGGAAAGUACUAUGUCUGAGGCCACAGUGUGCAUGCUUAUGGACAGGUUUGCACCUUGGUAGUGAUCUAGAUCAAAAUAAAUUAUGUAAAAUAAUUGGUACCUUGUUUUGUACAUGCAAAAUUAAUGCAAAUGUUUCUUAUGCUUGUAAUAUAUUUUGUUGUUUAGAUAUGGGGGGGAUGUUGAGAUGGUUAAUGGGUUUUGCUCAAGAUGGUGAAGAUUUGUUGUUUGACCCAAGAGGCAAUUGUAAUUAACCCACAAAAUUAAAUUGCAAUUGCAUUCCUGAAGAAUGGAGAUAUGUCAGAAUGGAG